This 2208-nucleotide long non-coding RNA is filed under the name Mytilus galloprovincialis (Mediterranean mussel). The record is from RNAcentral. Lineage: Eukaryota; Metazoa; Mollusca; Bivalvia; Mytilida; Mytilidae.
AUGACAUAACAAAACAAUUACAAAUGGUCUGUACACAAGUUCCAUUUAAUUGACCUGUAGCCCUUUUCAGUGGCGGAUCCAGAAAAUUUCAUAAGUGGGGGCUCACUGAUUGACCUGAGAGGAGGCCCGCUCCAGUCACGCUUCAAUGAUUCCUAAAAAGGGGGAGCACAGCCCCCAUGCCCCCCCUAAAUCUUCCUCAAAAAUCUUAGGAGUAAAAUGUAUCUUUAGUCUAAAAUAUUCCUUAACUGUUCAACUAAAUAUUUUUAUUGUAAGAUUAAUUUUACACUUAAGAUUUUUUGUGAAAAGGGCUACAAGUCUUUAUUUGUUUGUACGAAACAUUAAAGAUAUUUACAUGUACAGAGGUUUAAUAAACAUGAAGUUAUUGUAUUAUUACUUGCUAAAAUGUUGCAAACUUCAGUUAAUCUAGUGUUACUGUGAAUUGAAAUGAAUAACACUUAUUAUGGAAUAUUAAAAGUACAAUGUCAUAUACAGUUGAUUUACAAUGUAUGAUUGUUGUUAUUACAGUGUAUUAAGAAAGACUUACAUAAAAGUUAAUACCUAGAUUUAUAUGUAUGAAGAAUGUGUAUUCAUAUAAAAGAACACAUGUACAAUUAGUGCUAUUAUUAAGGUAUGACACUAGUUGUAUUGUGCACAGUGCAUUAUAUUUUUAAGAAACCUCAAACACAAGUAUAUGUUUAUUAGAGUUUAUUUUUUGUAUAAGAUUUUUUUUUUUUUUAAUUUGUUAAGAAUAUUUUUGUCAAUUUUAUGGAAAACCUGAUGACAUAAUUUUCCUAUCAGUUAACAGAUUAUCUAUGGUCAUGAUGGUCUUACAAACUUUUGCCUCUGAUUGCUAUUUGAAGCUGAAAAGACCCACUCAUUUUCUCAAAUUUGGAUACUCUAUAACCACCAGUAGAAUUUCAAUAGACAGAAAAGUUUUAUGAAAUAGCACUAGCCACAGACAAAUUCCUGGCAAUAAAUGUUGACUCAGUAAACAAUUUGAACUUGAAGCACCAAAUCCAGUGUUUGAUUGGUUGUUUCUCAGUUUUAGUACAAUAAUUAUACUAGAAAGAAUUUUUGACCACAAAGUUAGAUUUAAGGACAGAUUUAUAAAUAUUGGGUUUUUGAUUAAAGUUCUAGUUUGUUAUUAUAGGAGUUUGCUUGUAAGAGCUUUAUAAAAAUUAUCUUGACUUAGUGUGAUUGCUUUAAAUAAGAGAUGUAGUUUGUAAAAGAUUUACCCUUCAUAUGAAAUCAUUUGUAUUUUCCAUGAUAUGAACUUUUUUUUAUGUCAGUCUGAGGAGCUAUAUAAAAUUUUAGCAUUUGCUAGAAGAUGCCUGUUGUUUUGUAUGAAAAUGUAAUCAAAGCACAACAUACAUGAUGAAAUUGUUCUUAUUUUGAAAUGAAAUAAUGUGGUAAUGAUAUUUUGAAAAAUCAAAUAAGUGUUAAACAUAGUUAAAUCUAUCUGUAUGCUGUAAGUUUUUAGGUAUUUUCACAUAUAAAUUUUAAGUUAACAAUUUCCAUUAACUUACAAGUGUAUAACUUUUUCUGAUUCAUGUAUAACUAACAACUAAUUGAUAUAUAGAACAUGUAGAACAUUCCAGUUACUUGUACUAACUCAGUACAAAUGAAUAGGUCCAUUGUAUAGUUAGUAAACAGUUUUGGAGUAGUGUAUAUGUAAAACAGAUUCAUAUAAGUAGAGUACAUCAAAGUUCACAAAGUAAGUGUAUUUCAAUCCAAAAGUCAGAAAGAAAGUGUUUGAUAAAUCAAAAGUUUCUUUUUACAGCACAUGUACAAAUGAUCAGAUUUUUUGAUUCAGAUACAUGUAAUAUUUUUUUAUUCAGAUACAUUUUCUACAUGUAAUAAUAUUGAAUUAUUAAUAUUUUUUAGUUCAUCCUCCUGAACCUUGAAGCAAGCAACAAAUAAUCAAUCAAGAUUUUUAAUGUAAGCAGAAAAUUGUCAAUUUUUUUUACCUGGUGACAUUUUUAUCAUUCCUUAAAUGCACAAAGUGAGAAUGAAGGCCAAUGGUAGUUAGCUAGAGAAGAAAUGUGAAUCUUCUAAUGAUAUUUUCUUUUAUUAUUUUUGUUUUUGAUGCUUCAUUAGUACCUUCCCUAUUACAUUCAUUCAAUUUGUUAUGGGAUGUUUGCGUAUGAUGUCAAACUUUCCCCAAAGUGAUAUGUAUAUCCAUGCAGAAUAAAUAUCUUAUAAAACCAA